This 450-nucleotide ribosomal RNA is filed under the name uncultured bacterium. Its description in RNAcentral is "bacterial SSU rRNA". It matches the Rfam family "Bacterial small subunit ribosomal RNA", at positions 96 to 562 of the family's 1533-position model. The record is from RNAcentral.
UGGCGGACGGGUGAGUAACGCGUGGAUAACCUGCCUUAUACAGGGGGAUAACAGGGAGAAAUUCUUGCUAAUACCCCAUAGGUAUGUCUGACGCAUGUUGGACAUAUUAAAGCUUUGGCGGUAUAAGAUGGGUCCGCGUCUGAUUAGCUAGUUGGUGGGGUAAAGGCCCACCAAGGCGACGAUCAGUAGCCGGCUUGAGAGAGUGGACGGCCACAUUGGGACUGAGACACGGCCCAAACUCCUACGGGAGGCAGCAGUGGGGAAUAUUGCACAAUGGGGGAAACCCUGAUGCAGCGACGCCGCGUGGAGGAAGAAGGUCUUCGGAUCGUAAACUUCUAUCAGCAGGGAAGAAGGAAGUGACAGUACCUGAGUAAGAAGCCCCGGCUAACUACGUGCCAGCAGCCGCGGUAAUACGUAGGGGGCGAGCGUUAUCCGGAAUUACUGGGUGUA